Molecule: ribosomal RNA, 1365 nt
Filed under: Salmonella enterica subsp. enterica serovar Glostrup
Lineage: Bacteria; Pseudomonadati; Pseudomonadota; Gammaproteobacteria; Enterobacterales; Enterobacteriaceae
Description: bacterial LSU rRNA
Rfam family: Bacterial large subunit ribosomal RNA
Source: RNAcentral
AACAAAUGCCCUGCUUCCAGGAAAAGCCUCUAAGCAUCAGGUAACAUCAAAUCGUACCCCAAACCGACACAGGUGGUCAGGUAGAGAAUACCAAGGCGCUUGAGAGAACUCGGGUGAAGGAACUAGGCAAAAUGGUGCCGUAACUUCGGGAGAAGGCACGCUGACACGUAGGUGAAGUGAUUUACUCAUGGAGCUGAAGUCAGUCGAAGAUACCAGCUGGCUGCAACUGUUUAUUAAAAACACAGCACUGUGCAAACACGAAAGUGGACGUAUACGGUGUGACGCCUGCCCGGUGCCGGAAGGUUAAUUGAUGGGGUCAGCGCAAGCGAAGCUCCUGAUCGAAGCCCCGGUAAACGGCGGCCGUAACUAUAACGGUCCUAAGGUAGCGAAAUUCCUUGUCGGGUAAGUUCCGACCUGCACGAAUGGCGUAAUGAUGGCCAGGCUGUCUCCACCCGAGACUCAGUGAAAUUGAACUCGCUGUGAAGAUGCAGUGUACCCGCGGCAAGACGGAAAGACCCCGUGAACCUUUACUAUAGCUUGACACUGAACAUUGAGCCUUGAUGUGUAGGAUAGGUGGGAGGCUUUGAAGCGUGGACGCCAGUCUGCGUGGAGCCGACCUUGAAAUACCACCCUUUAAUGUUUGAUGUUCUAACGUGGACCCGUAAUCCGGGUUGCGGACAGUGUCUGGUGGGUAGUUUGACUGGGGCGGUCUCCUCCUAAAGAGUAACGGAGGAGCACGAAGGUUGGCUAAUCCUGGUCGGACAUCAGGAGGUUAGUGCAAUGGCAUAAGCCAGCUUGACUGCGAGCGUGACGGCGCGAGCAGGUGCGAAAGCAGGUCAUAGUGAUCCGGUGGUUCUGAAUGGAAGGGCCAUCGCUCAACGGAUAAAAGGUACUCCGGGGAUAACAGGCUGAUACCGCCCAAGAGUUCAUAUCGACGGCGGUGUUUGGCACCUCGAUGUCGGCUCAUCACAUCCUGGGGCUGAAGUAGGUCCCAAGGGUAUGGCUGUUCGCCAUUUAAAGUGGUACGCGAGCUGGGUUUAGAACGUCGUGAGACAGUUCGGUCCCUAUCUGCCGUGGGCGCUGGAGAACUGAGGGGGGCUGCUCCUAGUACGAGAGGACCGGAGUGGACGCAUCACUGGUGUUCGGGUUGUCAUGCCAAUGGCACUGCCCGGUAGCUAAAUGCGGAAGAGAUAAGUGCUGAAAGCAUCUAAGCACGAAACUUGCCCCGAGAUGAGUUCUCCCUGAGACUUAGAGUCUCCUGAAGGAACGUUGAAGACGACGACGUUGAUAGGCCGGGUGUGUAAGCGCAGCGAUGCGUUGAGCUAACCGGUACUAAUGAACCGUGAGGCUUAACCUUACAACGCC